AGUGGCUCUCAUAGAAGCUGCAGCUUCUUCCACCUAGCCACUGUAGUCAAAAAGGAGCUCAGAGUGACAGUUUUCCUUGACAGUCGACAUUCUGUUUGCUGUAAUCAAUGUGCAACAUUUCAGGAAAAGACAAUU
RNAcentral lists this small nucleolar RNA (135 nucleotides) under Dasypus novemcinctus (nine-banded armadillo). Lineage: Eukaryota; Metazoa; Chordata; Mammalia; Cingulata; Dasypodidae. The record is from RNAcentral.